AGCAGUCGCCACGGUAAUACAGAGGGUGCGAGCGUUAAUCGGAUUUACUGGGCGUAAAGCGUGCGUAGGCGGCUUCUUAAGUCGGAUGUGAAAUCCCUGAGCUUAACUUAGGAAUUGCAUUCGAUACUGGGAAGCUAGAGUAUGGGAGAGGAUGGUAGAAUUCCAGGUGUAGCGGUGAAAUGCGUAGAGAUCUGGAGGAAUACCGAUGGCGAAGGCAGCCAUCUGGCCUAAUACUGACGCUGAGGUACGAAAGCAUGGGGAGCAAACAGGAUUAGAUACCCCUGUAGUCCUGUCUCUUAUACA
RNAcentral lists this ribosomal RNA (303 nucleotides) under uncultured bacterium. RNAcentral describes it as "partial 16S ribosomal RNA". It matches the Rfam family "Bacterial small subunit ribosomal RNA", at positions 507 to 809 of the family's 1533-position model. The record is from RNAcentral.